GUCUACGACCAUACCACGUUGAAAGCACCGGUUCUCGUCCGAUCACCGAAGUUAAGCAACGUCGGGCCAGGUUAGUACUUGGAUGGGUGACCGCCUGGGAAUGGGCAAUGACC
This 113-nucleotide ribosomal RNA is filed under the name Lingula anatina. The record is from RNAcentral. Lineage: Eukaryota; Metazoa; Brachiopoda; Lingulata; Lingulida; Lingulidae.